UACACUCGCACGCGUUUCGGUGCUCGCGCGCGCGUUCUGGCGCGCGCAGUUAAACGGGAAACAGGAGGCCCGCCCGCGUCGCGGACGGCGCCAACCUGUGCUGCCCCCGCAACGGUAAGCGAACGCAUCGCGCCACGUGCGAUGCAGCGCCGCUUCGCCGCAUGCCAUCCGCAUGCGGACGACAGCCACUGGACGCCCUGCGUGUCCGGGAAGGUGAAGCGGCGUGUUCGCCAGCCCGGAUACCGGCCAAAACAAGGGGUUCAGC
RNAcentral lists this non-coding RNA (265 nucleotides) under Burkholderia sp. RNAcentral also lists the same sequence under 1 other name. Lineage: Bacteria; Pseudomonadati; Pseudomonadota; Betaproteobacteria; Burkholderiales; Burkholderiaceae. The record is from RNAcentral.